This is a non-coding RNA of Cricetulus griseus (Chinese hamster), 1546 nucleotides long. The record is from RefSeq and is a predicted model, not a curated record. Lineage: Eukaryota; Metazoa; Chordata; Mammalia; Rodentia; Cricetidae.
UGGGAAGCUCUGAUUUAAAGGACAAACCCAAAGUAGGGUGGUGCACACACAUAAUCCUAGCACUUGGGAGGUGAGGGCAGAAGGAUCAGGAGUGCAGGACUGACUACCUUUGGUUAUAAUGGUUUAAGGCUAGACCCUGUGCUAAAAAAAAUCACACACCUCUUUCAGCAGUCAGGAUAGGGCAGAUGUAGUUCCACAAAGAACCAACAGAGUCCGCCACAGAGCAGUUCAUCAUGUGGCUGUUUAACCUUUCCAUUCAAAUCUGGGUAGCAGCAGGGGCCCAGCAGAGCUCCCUAAGAAAGCCUGUGUGGUCCCUCUCUCAAGACUCUUUCCUUUUAUUGCCCCUUUCCCUGUGUGCUAUGUUUCCUUUCCUUACCUGCAGUUGCUUCAACACCUGGAAAGCCAGCAGCUCCUGCCGAAGGUCAUCUCCACACUUGACAAUGACUGACAGGAGUCGCCAAUUGGGAAGAUGGCCAUAGGGGGAACCCUCUCUGAUCCUCCUGUGAAGAAAAGUCAUGGGGUGAUGCCCUGCAGGGAGCCUCAGUGGAUUCAAGUGUCUCACUCUACCAGCAUCAGAUAACCCAGGAGGGCCUGGGGAAGUGCUAUCAUCUUCCUUCCCUGGAUCCAGUGACCCAUGAUGAACCAGGCUCGGCUAGCAGCCAGCAUGAGAGCUUGCCAACAGUGAAUCAGAGAUGAAGACUGGAGUACCAUUAGCCUGGCUUGGACACCAGGCCUCUGAACUUGGUUAUCCACUGGGCACCUUUCCCCACUAUCUGUCAAGAUGUAUAGUAGACGGUGGCACUAAGCUACUGACCACUCUCUUCCUGCUCAGUAUCGACAUUAGAUAGCCUGAUGCUGCCGAGUUUCCUUUUCUCAGCCCCAGCUCUUCGACCAGGCAUUAGACUUACUCUGCCAAGGCUACUUUUCCCUUUUUGUUUAUCUCAAAUAAAGGCAGUAUAUUCUGUUGAGGCUCCACUGGUAGAGAAUAAAUUCUACCCUACAUUAACAAAAAGUAGGAUCUUUGGGGAGUGAGGGAAAGGAAUUAUGAGGAACGGCCAGGAGAAGCAGCUGAUGUGCUAGUUAGUAUCCUUUCUCUUCCAGCAUAGAAAGAACACAGCCCCUGUUCCUUCCCUGUGGUGGCUGAUAUGAUCUCAGCUAGGCCAGGUCUCAAGCAGGGUCAUUAGACCUGUGUCACAGUUCUUAGUAUGUGGUGAAUGGAAUGACAACACAGUUUAGUGAAAGCCAACUCUCAGACAAAGUCAAGAGUAUCAGCCCUGCCAUUAGCUAGUUGACCUGUGGGAAGACACUUUAUCUCUCAAGUCUCCGUAUUUUUCCUUUGUAAAAUGAGGCCACUGGAAUACAUGAAUUCUAAGGGUUUGUUUGUUUGUUUUUCCAUUCUAACAUUCCAUGCUUCUACCAGUGAAAUGAAACAGAAGGGAGGACAGAAAAUAGAGUGACCCCACGUAAGACAUCCUGUCUCCAUGCAGCCCUCAGACACCUUGCCGAUCUGUCCCUCUCCCAAUUUACCUCAUCCUCAUUCUCCACU